RNAcentral lists this ribosomal RNA (492 nucleotides) under uncultured bacterium. RNAcentral describes it as "partial 16S ribosomal RNA". It matches the Rfam family "Bacterial small subunit ribosomal RNA", at positions 29 to 507 of the family's 1533-position model. The record is from RNAcentral.
AGUGAACGCUGGCGGUAGGCCUAACACAUGCAAGUCGAACGGCAGCACAGUAAGAGCUUGCUCUUACGGGUGGCGAGUGGCGGACGGGUGAGGAAUACAUCGGAAUCUACUUUUUCGUGGGGGAUAACGUAGGGAAACUUACGCUAAUACCGCAUACGACCUACGGGUGAAAGCAGGGGAUCUUCGGACCUUGCGCGAUUGAAUGAGCCGAUGUCGGAUUAGCUAGUUGGCGGGGUAAAGGCCCACCAAGGCGACGAUCCGUAGCUGGUCUGAGAGGAUGAUCAGUCACACUGGAACUGAGACACGGUCCAGACUCCUACGGGAGGCAGCAGUGGGGAAUAUUGGACAAUGGGCGCAAGCCUGAUCCAGCCAUACCGCGUGGGUGAAGAAGACCUUCGGGUUGUAAAGCCCUUUUGUUGGGAAAGAAAAGCAGCAGGUUAAUACCCCGCUGUUCUGACGGUACCCAAAGAAUAAGCACCGGCUAACUUCGUG